Non-coding RNA from Paramormyrops kingsleyae, 886 nucleotides. Lineage: Eukaryota; Metazoa; Chordata; Actinopteri; Osteoglossiformes; Mormyridae. The record is from RefSeq and is a predicted model, not a curated record.
AUGAUGAAGAAGGAGGGAAUAAUGAAAAACAGAGAUUGUUUGGACUGGGCUUAUCGGCGCUGCUGUUGAUCAUCAUCAUCAUCACAUGGAAAGUGUGGGACAAACACAAGAAAAAAAGGGCCAGGAAGCAUUAUCCAGGAAGUACAGAAUUAAAAUUGAACCCAGACCAUGAAUACGCCGUCAUAGACAGAACUGGCAUCAUCAAGGGAGACCCGGCAGAGCAGUAGGGGGCAGUAACACAGAGCUGCUCUUCAGCAUGACAGCUGUGAGGGACACACAGAUACUGCAGUGAUGGGGAGGGAUAAUCACCAAAGAGGAGCAUCUUACAGUGAUGUCAGCUGUAUUUAAACGGCAUGCAGCACUGUCACGUUACAGUGUGACAGUAAGAGUCAGCUGGUGUGAAACACAUUCAUAGCUGUUGUGCAUUUGAACAAUGAUCAAGGUGCUAUUUGCCUCACUUGUACUUUGCUUUGGACAAAAUAGAAUAAAUGUAUUUUCUUGGCGUUCUGUGAAUUACUUUUCAUUAAUACAAAUGGAAAAAAAUAUCAAUGGCUAUCCUAUUUGAUUAGUAUAAAAUAAAAUGUCUGUUACCACAAUAUUCAGUAUUUUGAGAAAGUAUUUGCCAGUGUCUGUUUUUCUCUUGUGUAUAUACAGUAUGUACCAGUGGGGUUUACUGAGGUCUAAGGGCUCUGGCUUUAAUUUUACUCUCUUCUUACUCUCUUCACUGCCCCCUGCUGGAGCAGCUUCACUGUUUCACUGCUUCCCUUCUCUCCUCUGACUGUGGAAUUAAAAGCUGCCCUGUUGCUGUUAUAUUAUGUAUCAAUAUGUAUCUGACUUGCACAGCAUUUGUUUCAUACAUAACAUUAAUAAAAAUGCCUUUCAUCAA